UGCUGAUUUGUAAAUGGUAUUUGAGAG
RNAcentral lists this non-coding RNA (27 nucleotides) under Mus musculus (house mouse). The record is from RNAcentral. Lineage: Eukaryota; Metazoa; Chordata; Mammalia; Rodentia; Muridae.